UAGGGAAUCUUCCACAAUGGGCGAAAGCCUGAUGGAGCAACGCCGCGUGUGUGAUGAAGGCUUUCGGGUCGUAAAGCACUGUUGUAUGGGAAGAACAGCUAGAAUAGGAAAUGAUUUUAGUUUGACGGUACCAUACCAGAAAGGGCGGCUAAAUACGUGUCAG
RNAcentral lists this ribosomal RNA (163 nucleotides) under uncultured bacterium. RNAcentral describes it as "partial 16S ribosomal RNA". It matches the Rfam family "Bacterial small subunit ribosomal RNA", at positions 355 to 511 of the family's 1533-position model. The record is from RNAcentral.